RNAcentral lists this ribosomal RNA (490 nucleotides) under uncultured bacterium. RNAcentral's name for it is "partial 16S ribosomal RNA". It matches the Rfam family "Bacterial small subunit ribosomal RNA", at positions 30 to 507 of the family's 1533-position model. The record is from RNAcentral.
AUUGAACGCUGGCGGCAUGCUUUACACAUGCAAGUCGGACGGCAGCACCGAGCAGCUUGCUUCUUGGCUGGCGAGUGGCGGACGGGUGAGUAAUAUAUCGGCACGUCCUGAGUAAUGGGUGAUUUCUAAUCGAAAGGUCAGCUAAUACCGCAUAUUCCCUGCUGCGUAAAGCAGGUUAGCUUCGGUCGUUGCGUUAUUCGAGCCGCCGAUAUCUGAUUAGCUAGGUGGUGGGGUAAAGUCCUACCAAGGCGACGAUCAGUAGCGGAUCUGAGAGGAUGAUCCGCCACCGGGGAGCUGAGACAGGGCCCAGACUCCUGCGGGAGGCAGCAGUGGGGAAUUUUAGACAAUGGGCGCAAGCAUGAUCCAGCCAUGCCGCGUGUGUGGAGAAGGCCUUCGGGUUGUAAAGGACGUUUGUCAGGGAAGAAAAGGCUGUUGCUAAGAUCGACAGCUGAUGACGGUACCUGAAGAAUAAGCACCGGCUAACUACGUG